Molecule: ribosomal RNA, 420 nt
Filed under: Triticum aestivum (bread wheat)
Lineage: Eukaryota; Viridiplantae; Streptophyta; Magnoliopsida; Poales; Poaceae
Description: partial small subunit ribosomal RNA
Source: RNAcentral
AUGUCGGAGAGGUUUGGGGAAGCCACGGGACUAUGUGUAAACCCAUUGAAAUCCAUGGUCGGACCUAUCCAAUGUCAAGUCUUGGACCUAGAUAGCAUUCUACAAGGGUUUCCCAGCCGACGCACGGGCUUCCCAAUCACCUACUUAGGUUUGCCAAUCUCUCUGGGAAGACUGAGGAAGGUGCAUCUCCAAUUCAUCUUCGACGGCAUCAAGGCAAAACUAGCAGGAUGGAAGGGGCGGUUAAUGAACAUCUCGGGCCGGAAAACGCUUGUCCGCUCUGUGCUUUCAGCUUUUCCAAUCUUCGCACUCACUGCCAUUCAAGCCUCCAGCGAAAUACUGAAGGAUAUUGACAAGAUAUGCCGGCGUUUCCUUUGGGCUCAGGAGGAGAAGCUUUCCGGUGGCAAAUGCAAAGUAAACUAG